GCCCGCCUAGCUCAAUCGGAUAGAGCGUCAGACUCUUAAUCUGAAGGUUGCGAGUUCGACCCUCGCGGUGGGCU
Molecule: transfer RNA, 74 nt
Filed under: Fistulina hepatica ATCC 64428
Lineage: Eukaryota; Fungi; Basidiomycota; Agaricomycetes; Agaricales; Fistulinaceae
Description: tRNA-Lys (CTT) (tRNA-Lys-CTT-1-1)
Rfam family: tRNA
About the family: Transfer RNA (tRNA) molecules are approximately 80 nucleotides in length. Their secondary structure includes four short double-helical elements and three loops (D, anti-codon, and T loops).
Source: RNAcentral